UCUGGCGUUAGCGGCGGACGGGUGAGUAACACGUGGAUACCUACCUAUAAGACUGGGAUAACUUCGGGAAACCGGAGCUAAUACCGGAUAAUAUAUUGAACCGCAUGGUUCAAUAGUGAAAGACGGUUUUGCUGUCACUUAUAGAUGGAUCCGCGCUGCAUUAGCUAGUUGGUAAGGUAACGGCUUACCAAGGCAACGAUGCGUAGCCGACCUGAGAGGGUGAUCGGCCACACUGGAACUGAGACACGGUCCAGACUCCUACGGGAGGCAGCAGUAGGGAAUCUUCCGCAAUGGGCGAAAGCCUGACGGAGCAACGCCGCGUGAGUGAUGAAGGUCUUCGGAUCGUAAAACUCUGUUAUUAGGGAAGAACAAAUGUGUAAGUAACUAUGCACGUCUUGACGGUACCUAAUCAGAAAGCCACGGUAACUACGUGCCAGCAGCCGCGGUAAUACGUAGGUGGCCAGCCGUUUAUCGGGAAUCAUUGGGCGUAAAGCGCGCGUAAGGCCGGGUUUUCUAAAGUCUGGAUGGUUGGAAGGGCCCAAGGGGUUCCAAACCGUGGGAGGGGUCCUUGGGGAAACUUGGAAAAAACUUUGGAUUGGC
Molecule: ribosomal RNA, 600 nt
Filed under: uncultured bacterium
Lineage: Bacteria
Description: bacterial SSU rRNA
Rfam family: Bacterial small subunit ribosomal RNA
Source: RNAcentral